AACAACAACAAAAGUCACAUUAGAAAAACAGGAAUCUGGGCUUAGGGGAGGGGGUGGCUACAGAGGUGAUUAGGGCCCCGUGUGAAGGAAGGUGCAAGUGCCGUGCUGAGGAGUUCGGUUUUUAGGCUGCAGUCAACAGAGUGUCAGUUUCUAUUUUACAAGUUUAGUUUAUAAGAAGCUUGUAUCACAUCUGGGGGAUGCCCUCUCCCAGAGGGAAAAAUGGGGCCACAUCUCUAAUGAAGAGGUAAUGGUACUUACUAGUCAAACAUGAAGUCCAGGGUAUUUGCACUGAAGCAGCAGGAAUGCAGAAAAGGGAGGGGAUUUGAAGGGAUUUCAUGUGUAGUUGGAGGAUGGAGCAGAAGAUGAUCCUUAGGUUUCUAUUUUUCGAAGACUGGGGUGGUUAUUGAUGCUACAAAUUGAAACAGAAACUGUUGGGGUGAGUUCAGCUUUCGAAAUGUUUCAGGUGCCUGCCAGAUAGUCUUAAGCAUAAGGCAAUCAGUAAAAUAGGGUGGGGGUGUGCUCUGUAUUUGAGAUGCAAAUGUAGGUCCAUCAACAUGUAAAUGUAUUUUGCUGCCUGGAAAAAGGUGAGAUUAACCAGUGGGGAGUGGGGGUGGAGGGGAGGGGGAGACAGUGGGACCUUGGAUGGAACCCAGCGGAGAUUCCACCAAUGGAAUAGCUGGAUGAGCUGGAAGCUGGUCCCUGCUGAGUCAGGCUAGCAUCGUCAGAAAAUGCUCACUCCCGAGAGCUCCUCUCAGUCCUUGCCCCCGUCAGCCUUCAGGCCAACUGGACUUUUCUGGAAGCUCAAAAAUCUUUAGAAUAUCUGGGAGGACCCAAUGUAAUCACAAGGGUCCUUCUUAGUGAAAGAUGGAGUCGAAAGAGAACCAGAGAGAUGGUGGUGUGAGAAGGAUUCAGCCCAAUGUUGCUGGCUAUGAAGAUGGGGCCACAAAUCAGGGGAAAGAGGAGCCUUCUGGAAGCUGGAAAAGGUAAGAAAACAAGAUUUUCCUCUAGAGCUUCCAGAAAGGAAUGCACCCUGCUGGCAUCCUGAUGUAGCUGAGUGAGGUCCAUAUCAGUCUUUGGGUUCACAAAACUGUCAGAUCAUAAAUGUGUGUUGUUUCAAACCGGAGUGUGGUAAUUUUUCACAGCAACAGAGCAUGUACACUCCCUUAAAAUCGGACCAUUGGCAGACAAGGAAGUGGAGGUGUUUAUCCAUUGACUCAUCCUUCUGUGGCGGAGGAUUGCCCCUGUCUUUCACGGGACUUCCUGGCCAGUGGAGCAGCCCUGAAUGCCAGAAAGGCAGUUGGUGGAAGUGGGAUGCUGUCAGUGGGCUGGAACCCCGUUCCCAAAGCUUCAGGCGAACUUAUAGGUGGACCAGGCAUCAGCCUCUGCCGCAGCACCCAGCUGAAAGCAGCCAAGCCAGGAUUUAAACGGGGCUAAGUCUCCUUGGAGCCCAGGUGCCUAACCCAGAGAGGACUUCCCUGCAACACUCGAGGCCAUUCUGUGACCCUCGGUGAAAUUCUCCGGUUUGAUGUUAGCUCUUCUCUCAUUCUCCCUCUGACCUUCAGGCUCCACCUUAAUCUGUUUUGGUAUGUCCUCUUUAAGUGUCUCACUCCUAUUCACCCACCCCAGCACUGAUGUUCAUCAGGUUGUCUUUGACUUUCUCAUGCUCUUCCUUCUGGAGCCAUGCUGUCCAAUAAAUACGGUAAGCCACUCCCCACUGGUGGCUACCAAAUGCUCAGAAUGUCAACUGAGAUGUUCUCUCAGUGGGAAAAAAUGCACUGGAUUAUGAAGACUUAAAAAAAAAUCAAUAGCAUUUAUAUUGAUUCAUCUUGAAGUGUAAUAUUUUACAUAUGUUGGAUUAUAUAAAAUACAUUAUAGAUUUCAUUUGUCUUUUUUCCAUCCGCAUCAUUUUAACCUUUUUUAAACAUGUCCACUUGAACAUUUACAUGGUGGCUCACUGUAUAUUGCUACUGGGCAGCACUGCUCUAGAAAUGCCCCGAACCCUACACUCAGGCAUUCAAGCACUUCCAUGAGUGUUCCACAAACACUUCAAAUGCAGCAUGUUGCAGAGCAAAAUAAUCAUUUUCCUUUCAACUCUGCCCUGCUCUCCCCAUCGACUUUCUCUCCAUUUAGUGUCCUGGUGCAUACACAGUUAUCUGCUGCGCUGUCCAUUCUAGAACCCUGGAGUUUGUCCCCAAUUCCUUCCUUUUCCCAGUCAUUACCACUAGUUGUAUCUCCCUGCAUGUUUUUCUAUCAGACCUUCCCCUCCCUCCCCCUGUUCCUGUCUUUGUUCCUUGUCCCAUUGCUCACCUUGACUGUUGUGGAAGUAUCCUAGUUUGUGGUCUUCUUUUGUGUGAUGUUGACUUGUUUCCAUUCAGUCCAAAGUAAUUAACUGCCAAAAUGCCUAUCCAAGGCAAACCUGA
Long non-coding RNA from Pipistrellus kuhlii (Kuhl's pipistrelle), 2420 nucleotides. RefSeq lists it as uncharacterized. The record is from RefSeq and is a predicted model, not a curated record. The transcript is spliced from 2 exons. NCBI's taxonomy places the organism in Eukaryota, Metazoa, Chordata, Mammalia, Chiroptera, Vespertilionidae.